This 370-nucleotide long non-coding RNA is filed under the name Lathyrus oleraceus (garden pea). RNAcentral's name for it is "Pisum sativum (pea) long non-coding RNA (PSAT_LNC001353)". The record is from RNAcentral. Lineage: Eukaryota; Viridiplantae; Streptophyta; Magnoliopsida; Fabales; Fabaceae.
GAGACAUGCUCGCUAGGAUAUCGCAUCCUAUGCCUACGUAUCUUCUCUAUCCAGAGAAGAAUCAGAGCACUCGUAGCUCGGCUAACGCACGCUACAAACAUCAGAGUCAACGUAGUUCGGGGAAAAGGAGACAUGCUCGCUAGGAUAUCGCAUCCUAUGCCUACGUAUCUUCUCUAUCCAGAGAAGAAUCAGAGCACUCGUAGCUCGGCUAACGCACGCCAAAAAGGGACGCUGAGACAUCAAAAGAAACACUCGAAAGGAAACAGAAUGCCAAUACAUGGACUUACGCCUGACUCUUAACAACAACCAAGGAAACAUAAUGCCAAUACAUGGACUUAUAUCUGACUCCUAACAACAACAACAACAAAAG